UCGUAUGGUGACAAGUCUCGUUAAUUCAGUAAAACGAGCGCGAUCUUAGUUGUAUAGAGAAAGUCUUUGAUUUACUUUUUAGUAUUUUGAUUUCUUUUCUCCAUCGGUUAAAUUUUUUUUAUUUAUU
Molecule: ribosomal RNA, 127 nt
Filed under: uncultured eukaryote
Lineage: Eukaryota
Description: partial 18S ribosomal RNA
Source: RNAcentral